UACAGAGGGUGCGAGCGUUAAUCGGAAUGACUGGGCGUAAAGGGUGCGUAGGUGGUUUGAUAAGUUAGGUGUGAAAGUCCUGGGCUUAACCUGGGGAUUGCGCUUAAGACUGUUGAGCUAGAGUACUGUAGAGGAAGGUGGAAUUUCCGGUGUAGCAGUGAAAUGCGUAGAUAUCGGAAGGAACAUCAGUGGCGAAGGCGACUUUCUGGAUAGCUACUGACACUGAGGCACGAAAGCGUGGGGAGCAAACAGG
Molecule: ribosomal RNA, 253 nt
Filed under: uncultured bacterium
Lineage: Bacteria
Description: partial 16S ribosomal RNA
Rfam family: Bacterial small subunit ribosomal RNA
Source: RNAcentral